AUUGAACGCUGGCGGCAGGCCUAACACAUGCAAGUCGAACGGUAACAGGAAGAAGCUUGCUUCUUUGCUGACGAGUGGCGGACGGGUGAGUAAUGUCUGGGAAACUGCCUGAUGGAGGGGGAUAACUACUGGAAACGGUAGCUAAUACCGCAUAAUGUCGCAAGACCAAAGGGGGGGACCUUCGGGCCUCUUGCCAUCGGAUGUGCCCAGAUGGGAUUAGCUAGUAGGUGGGGUAACGGCUCACCUAGGCGACGAUCCCUAGCUGGUCUGAGAGGAUGACCAGCCACACUGGAACUGAGACACGGUCCAGACUCCUACGGGAGGCAGCAGUGGGGAAUAUUGCACAAAGGGCGCAAGCCUGAUGCAGCUAUGCCGCGUGUAUGAAGAAGGCCUUCGGGUUGUAAAGUACUUUCAGCGGGGAGGAAGGGAGUAAAGUUAAUACCUUUGCUCAUUGACGUUACCCGCAGAAGAAGCACCGGCUAACUCCGCG
RNAcentral lists this ribosomal RNA (490 nucleotides) under uncultured bacterium. RNAcentral's name for it is "partial 16S ribosomal RNA". It matches the Rfam family "Bacterial small subunit ribosomal RNA", at positions 30 to 507 of the family's 1533-position model. The record is from RNAcentral.